UUUUGCUUCAUUGUGAAAGCAGACAGUAUGGAGGCGAUACAAGAAUGGGUCAAACAAUCAAAGGGAAUUGUGUCUAAUGUGGCUUGUAGCUUCUGCCUUGUGGUCUUGGAGAAGAUUCUGGAGAUGGAGGUUCGGUGUCCCUGCGAUCAUAUAUGGAAAAUGUUCUUAACGUCUGCAUUCUUUAUCAUUCCUGCCUUUUUAUCAUUCUUGCUGAUGCUACAAGUUCAAGGACCUAGGAGUAACAUAGUAAAAUGGAAGGCUUACUUGUCAAGCCUCAUCCCUUCGUUGGUGUGGUUGAUCAUACUGUUCUUUGAUGGUAGAUACUUUGCUUGUGCCAUGGCAAAAUUAAAUGAAACAGGAGUCAUUCGUAAUGACGAUUCUUCUGUGAAAAUGUGUGAGGAUGCAGGGAAAGAUCAACAUCAGAAUUUCCUUUUUUGGGAAAUCUGUUCUCAGGGAAUUGGUAUGGGUCUGCUCUUGGUCACCUGUGUGGUGGUCAUAGCAUCCAUAUGCAGCAACUGCAAUUGUGAGUUACAUAGAGAUGACCAAGAUUCAGAAAGAGGAGGAGGAGGAUCAGGAG
Molecule: non-coding RNA, 577 nt
Organism: Salmo salar (Atlantic salmon)
Lineage: Eukaryota; Metazoa; Chordata; Actinopteri; Salmoniformes; Salmonidae
Source: RefSeq, a predicted model, not a curated record